RNAcentral lists this ribosomal RNA (275 nucleotides) under uncultured Acholeplasma sp. RNAcentral's name for it is "partial 16S ribosomal RNA". It matches the Rfam family "Bacterial small subunit ribosomal RNA", at positions 1105 to 1382 of the family's 1533-position model. Lineage: Bacteria; Bacillati; Mycoplasmatota; Mollicutes; Acholeplasmatales; Acholeplasmataceae. The record is from RNAcentral.
UUAUUGCUAGUUACCAUCAUUGAUUGGGGACUCUAGCGAGACUGCCAGUGAUAAACUGGAGGAAGUGGGGAUGACGUCAAAUCAUCAUGCCCCUUAUGACCCUGGGCUACAAACGUGAUACAAUGGCUGAAACAGAGGGAGGCGAAGGGGUGACCUGGAGCGAAACCCAGAAAAACAGUCUCAGUUCGGAUUGAAGUCUGCAACUCGACUUCAUGAAGUCGGAAUCGCUAGUAAUCGCGGAUCAGAACGCCGCGGUGAAUACGUUCUCGGGGUUU